UAGGUCAGACGUCGCGCACUAGUUCUCCAUUAUUUUUAUUGAUUUGUCAUGUUUGUUUAUCUUUAAAAGUCUACAACUUGUGAUCCUAAUGUGUAUAAUUAUUUUUGUAGAGCUGGUUACAUCAUGCAUAUGCAUGGCCCAGUAUAAAUAUAAUGUACACUCAUACAUAGAAAAUGCUUAAGGUUUAAUGUUAAAUAUAGACAUGAUAGAUAUCAACGCGCAUUUGUAUAAAACAUAAACCCAACAAAUACAUACCUUGUUUACUCCCUGC
Molecule: long non-coding RNA, 271 nt
Filed under: Mytilus galloprovincialis (Mediterranean mussel)
Lineage: Eukaryota; Metazoa; Mollusca; Bivalvia; Mytilida; Mytilidae
Source: RNAcentral